Molecule: ribosomal RNA, 423 nt
Filed under: Staurothele dendritica
Lineage: Eukaryota; Fungi; Ascomycota; Eurotiomycetes; Verrucariales; Verrucariaceae
Description: partial small subunit ribosomal RNA
Source: RNAcentral
GGUCCUCGGGCGUCUGACCCUUCCACAGAGAUACGCUUGCUGAAACCUCAGUGGCCCCGCCUACCAGGCUGGCGAUCUGCGACUCAAAAUAAAUGAUCUUGAACUGCUGGUCUGCGGUCAUGCAGACGACAUCACUCUAUUGCGGGAACGUUCACGGCUCUAGCGGCGUGACUUACCUGCAGCCACCGCGAACCUGCGCUGGUUCACAGACUAAGUAGUGAUGGGCGCGGACACCCGAGGGUUCUGCGUUUCAGAUAUAGCCGAGUUCCAGGAUAACUCCAGGAUGGGUAGUCGGUGUCGCCCCCGGACGUCGAUUUACCGAGGGGAAGAUAUGCACGGAGAGCUCCACCGAAGAUGCAGUUGGUGGUAAGGUGCUUUCUCCCUGGGAACCGUUCCGUAGGUGAACCUGCGGAAGGAUCAUUA